RNAcentral lists this ribosomal RNA (212 nucleotides) under uncultured bacterium. RNAcentral describes it as "partial 16S ribosomal RNA". It matches the Rfam family "Bacterial small subunit ribosomal RNA", at positions 524 to 735 of the family's 1533-position model. The record is from RNAcentral.
UACGAAGGGGGCUAGCGUUGUUCGGAUUUAUUGGGCGUAAAGAGCGUGUAGGCGGCUUCACAGGUCCGCUGUGAAAACUCGAGGCUCAACCUCGAGCUGUCGGUGGAAACCGUGUGGCUAGAGUCCGGAAGAGGAGAGUGGAAUUCCCGGUGUAGCGGUGAAAUGCGCAGAUAUCGGGAAGAACACCCGUGGCGAAGGCGGCUCUCUGGGAC